RNAcentral lists this ribosomal RNA (520 nucleotides) under uncultured Actinomycetes bacterium. RNAcentral describes it as "bacterial SSU rRNA". It matches the Rfam family "Bacterial small subunit ribosomal RNA", at positions 868 to 1389 of the family's 1533-position model. Lineage: Bacteria; Bacillati; Actinomycetota; Actinomycetes. The record is from RNAcentral.
CCCGCCUGGGGAGUACGGUCGCAAGACUAAAACUCAAGGAAAUUGACGGGGGCCCGCACAAGCAGCGGAGCAUGCGGCUUAAUUCGAUGCAACGCGAAGAACCUUACCUAGGCUUGACAUAUAGAGAAAUCCCACAGAGAUGUGGAGUCCGUAAGGGCUCUAUACAGGUGGUGCAUGGUUGUCGUCAGCUCGUGUCGUGAGAUGUUGGGCUAAGUCCCGCAACGAGCGCAACCCUCGUUCUAUGUUGCCAGCGCGUAAUGGCGGGGACUCAUAGGAGACUGCCGGGGUCAACUCGGAGGAAGGUGGGGAUGACGUCAAAUCAUCAUGCCCCUUAUGCCUAGGGCUGCACGCAUGCUACAAUGGCCGAUACAAAGGGCUGCGAUACCGCAAGGUGGAGCGAAUCCCAUAAAGUCGGUCUCAGUUCGGAUUGGGGUCUGCAACUCGACCCCAUGAAGUUGGAGUUGCUAGUAAUCGCAGAUCAGCAACGCUGCGGUGAAUACGUUCCCGGGCCUUGUACACA